AUUGAACGCUGGCGGCAUGCCUUACACAUGCAAGUCGAACGGCAGCGGGGACUUCGGUCCGCCGGCGAGUGGCGAACGGGUGAGUAAUGUAUCGGAACGUACCAUUGAGUGGGGGAUAACGUAGCGAAAGUUACGCUAAUACCGCAUAUUCUCUCCGGAGGAAAGCAGGGGACCGCAAGGCCUUGCGCUCUUUGAGCGGCCGAUGUCAGAUUGGCUAGUUGGUGGGGUAAAAGCGCACCAAGGCGACGAUCUGUAGCAGGUCUGAGAGGAUGAGCCGCAACACUGGAACUGAGACACGGGCCAGAAUCCUACGGGAGGCAGCAGUGUGGAAUGUUGGACAAUGGGUGCAACCCUGAUCCAGCCAUGCCGCGUGAGUGAAGAAGGCCUUCGGGUUGUAAAGCUCUUUCGGCCGGGAAAAAAUCGCAUGGGUUAAUACCCUGUGUGGAUGAUGGUACCGGAAUAAGAAGCACCGGCUAACUACGUGCCAGCCGCCGCGGUAA
Molecule: ribosomal RNA, 500 nt
Filed under: uncultured bacterium
Lineage: Bacteria
Description: partial 16S ribosomal RNA
Rfam family: Bacterial small subunit ribosomal RNA
Source: RNAcentral